Molecule: long non-coding RNA, 372 nt
Filed under: Homo sapiens (human)
Lineage: Eukaryota; Metazoa; Chordata; Mammalia; Primates; Hominidae
Description: long non-coding RNA NONHSAT205046.1
Source: RNAcentral
GGCUCUUUACAUAUCACCAUGAAAAAAAUCUCAGAGAAAAAUACGGAUCAGGAUACUAUGUUGAGCAUGCUACAAUUAGUGCAAAACUGGACAAAAGGAAGAAUGUAUUAUAUAUAAAAUUUAUAUUUGCAUAAAACAUCACUGCAAGAUGACGCAUGAAACUGAAAGCAUUGGCUGCCUUGAGGGAGGAGGAGGAGUGUGUGCCUGAGAGACAGGGUGGAAGGGAGGUUUGUCAUGAUUGACUCGUUUCACUUUUCAAAUGUGGAACAAUAUGAGUAUGUUCCCUACUAAUAAAUGAAUGGUUAAAGUGUUUUAAAGAAUCCUUUGAAAUCAUAUGUUCAAAGAAAUACUCAAUUGUCUAAGUUGGAAGAA